GUCCACACCGUAAACGAUGGAUACUAGGUGUAGGGGAUAUUAAGUCUUCUGUGCCGUCGCAAACGCAGUAAGUAUCCCACCUGGGGAGUACGGCCGCAAGGUUGAAACUCAAAGGAAUUGACGGGGGCCCGCACAAGCAGUGGAGUAUGUGGUUUAAUUCGACGCAACGCGAAGAACCUUACCAAGGCUUGACAUAUACAGGAAUAACUAAGAAAUUAGUUAGCUCUUCGGAGUCUGUAUACAGGUGGUGCAUGGUUGUCGU
This 262-nucleotide ribosomal RNA is filed under the name uncultured bacterium. Its description in RNAcentral is "partial 16S ribosomal RNA". It matches the Rfam family "Bacterial small subunit ribosomal RNA", at positions 793 to 1055 of the family's 1533-position model. The record is from RNAcentral.